Molecule: ribosomal RNA, 659 nt
Filed under: Alteromonas macleodii
Lineage: Bacteria; Pseudomonadati; Pseudomonadota; Gammaproteobacteria; Alteromonadales; Alteromonadaceae
Description: bacterial SSU rRNA
Rfam family: Bacterial small subunit ribosomal RNA
Source: RNAcentral
UAGAAGAUGACGAGUGGCGGACGGGUGAGUAAUGCUUGGGAACUUGCCUUUGCGAGGGGGAUAACAGUUGGAAACGACUGCUAAUACCGCAUAAUGUCUUCGGACCAAACGGGGCUUCGGCUCCGGCGCAAAGAGAGGCCCAAGUGAGAUUAGCUAGUUGGUAAGGUAACGGCUUACCAAGGCGACGAUCUCUAGCUGUUCUGAGAGGAAGAUCAGCCACACUGGGACUGAGACACGGCCCAGACUCCUACGGGAGGCAGCAGUGGGGAAUAUUGCACAAUGGGGGAAACCCUGAUGCAGCCAUGCCGCGUGUGUGAAGAAGGCCUUCGGGUUGUAAAGCACUUUCAGUUGUGAGGAAAAGUUAGUAGUUAAUACCUGCUAGCCGUGACGUUAACAACAGAAGAAGCACCGGCUAACUCCGUGCCAGCAGCCGCGGUAAUACGGAGGGUGCGAGCGUUAAUCGGAAUUACUGGGCGUAAAGCGCACGCAGGCGGUUUGUUAAGCUAGAUGUGAAAGCCCCGGGCUCAACCUGGGAUGGUCAUUUAGAACUGGCAGACUAGAGUCUUGGAGAGGGGAGUGGAAUUCCAGGUGUAGCGGUGAAAUGCGUAGAUAUCUGGAGGAACAUCAGUGGCGAAGGCGACUCCCUGGCCAAAGACUGA